Molecule: ribosomal RNA, 354 nt
Filed under: uncultured Glomeraceae
Lineage: Eukaryota; Fungi; Glomeromycota; Glomeromycetes; Glomerales; Glomeraceae
Description: SSU rRNA
Rfam family: Eukaryotic small subunit ribosomal RNA
Source: RNAcentral
AGCAGCCGCGGUAAUUCCAGCUCCAAUAGCGUAUAUUAAAGUUGUUGCAGUUAAAAAGCCCGUAGUUGAGUUUCGGGGUCAGUAGAUUGGUCGUGCCACUGGUAUGUACUGGUCUUACUGGCUCCUCCUUCCUGAUGAACCGUAAUGCCAUUAAUUUGGUGUUGCGGGGAGACUGGACUGUUACUUUGAAAAAAUUAGAGUGUUUAAAGCAGGCUAACGCUUGAAUACAUUAGCAUGGAAUAAUGAAAUAGGACGGUGGUCCUGUUUUGUUGGUUUCUGAAUCACCGUAAUGAUUAAUAGGGAUAGUUGGGGGCAUUAGUAUUCAAUUGUCAGAGGUGAAAUUCUUGGAUUUAU